GGGUGAAGCACAGACAACCGUAAGCCUGAGAAAAAAUGCAAUCAGAAGCAAUUAAUUUGACUGAAUCAAUAAUUCCACAGACAGCAAAUUUGUAGAGUAUAAUGGAGCAUCCGUACCAUAUCUGCACAACAAGAGCUUUUAUUACACUGGCAAACCCCCCAUGUGAAACCCGAACGUUGGUUUCAAGCUUUAGAUAAAUCGCACUAAAAAAAAGAGCCAUCCGUAACGCACAAGUUCAUUGUAUUUGAAAGCAAGAAACAUGUUGGUAGCUGAAAACAAAAGAAAAGCAGACCAGCAGCACCGCUGUGUCAACCAACAACAAACGACUCGUACAUUAAUAUUUGGACAUGUUGAUUCGCAACUUCUAAACUACUGCGAACAUACAAGUUGAGUGGCGUGGUGAUGUUGAGGAUUUUUGGUCUCAAAAUACACACUUUUAACUUGCAAAAGGAGUCCUGACAGCCCACCUGCAGCAAUGGCGUGAAUGAGCGAGCCCACUUCAUUUAACAUGCCAAGAGACUCCACCUAAGUGCAAACCAACUGCUUACUUUAUUCUUACUUGUAUUUCUCUCUAUGCUAUUCUCUUCUUUCACUUUCAC
This 599-nucleotide long non-coding RNA is filed under the name Daucus carota (carrot). Its description in RNAcentral is "long non-coding RNA (DCAR_LNC003402)". The record is from RNAcentral. Lineage: Eukaryota; Viridiplantae; Streptophyta; Magnoliopsida; Apiales; Apiaceae.